RNAcentral lists this ribosomal RNA (253 nucleotides) under uncultured bacterium. Its description in RNAcentral is "partial 16S ribosomal RNA". It matches the Rfam family "Bacterial small subunit ribosomal RNA", at positions 524 to 776 of the family's 1533-position model. The record is from RNAcentral.
UACGGAGGGGGCUAGCGUUAUUCGGAAUUACUGGGCGUAAAGCGCACGUAGGCGGCUUUGUAAGUAAGAGGUGAAAGCCCAGAGCUCAACUCUGGAAUUGCCUUUUAGACUGCAUGGCUUGAAUCAUGGAGAGGUCAGUGGAAUUCCGAGUGUAGAGGUGAAAUUCGUAGAUAUUCGGAAGAACACCAGUGGCGAAGGCGGCUGACUGGACAUGUAUUGACGCUGAGGUGCGAAAGCGUGGGGAGCAAACAGG